AGCGAACGCUGGCGGCAGGCUUAACACAUGCAAGUCGAGCGGGCGUAGCAAUACGUCAGCGGCAGACGGGUGAGUAACGCGUGGGAACGUACCUUUUGGUUCGGAACAACCCAGGGAAACUUGGGCUAAUACCGGAUAAGCCCUUACGGGGAAAGAUUUAUCGCCGAAAGAUCGGCCCGCGUCUGAUUAGCUAGUUGGUGAGGUAACGGCUCACCAAGGCGACGAUCAGUAGCUGGUCUGAGAGGAUGAUCAGCCACAUUGGGACUGAGACACGGCCCAAACUCCUACGGGAGGCAGCAGUGGGGAUAUUGGACAAUGGGCGCAAGCCUGAUCCAGCCAUGCCGCGUGAGUGAUGAAGGCCCUAGGGUUGUAAAGCUCUUUUGUGCGGGAAGAUAAUGACGGUACCGCAAGAAUAAGCCCCCGGCUAACUUCGUGCCAGCCGCCG
Molecule: ribosomal RNA, 445 nt
Filed under: uncultured bacterium
Lineage: Bacteria
Description: bacterial SSU rRNA
Rfam family: Bacterial small subunit ribosomal RNA
Source: RNAcentral